Raphanus sativus (radish) is the source of this 1682-nucleotide RNA transcript. It is a transcript of the gene named serine/threonine-protein kinase Nek6-like, with no coding region annotated. Lineage: Eukaryota; Viridiplantae; Streptophyta; Magnoliopsida; Brassicales; Brassicaceae. The transcript is spliced from 7 exons. The record is from RefSeq and is a predicted model, not a curated record.
AUGCGAAUUAAGGGAGAGAAGGCUUACAAGAGGUUCUGCAGCAUGGCGCAAGGAAUACCGUUAGGCAUGGAUACGAUAGGAUGGUUCAGGAGAGAGGAAAGAUCCCAGUUGUUCAACAAGAUGAGUGUAACAGUUUCGAAGAUGGAUGAUUAUGAAGUCGUGGAACAGAUCAGAAGAGGAGCUUUUGGUUCUGUUUUUCUUAAUCUAUGCAGAUGGAUGGUUCAGCUACUGUUGGCUAUAGAUUAACUCCAUAAGAAUCGAUUUCUUUACUGUGACCUUAAGUGCUCCAACAUAUUCCUCACCAAAGAAAACUAGAUUCUCAGAUUGUGGGAACAACAAACAUGUUCCCUGAACUUCUUGCAGAUAUACCUUACAGCUACAAAUCUGAUAUUUGGUCUUUAGGUUGUUGUAUAUAUGUUUAAGGCUCCUGACAUGGCUAGACUCAUAAACAAGAUUAACCGCUCUUCUUUUUCUUUCCUCCCGGUCAUGUAUUCCUCUUCAUUAAAACUAUGUAAUGUAGCGCAAGAACCCUGAACAUAGACCAACUGUGAUGUUGAGUUCCAUUAGUUUCUUCUUUUUGCGGCAUUUAUAGGCUUCAGAAUUGUUAAGACAUCCUUUUACUUACAGCCAUAUGUUGCAAAAUGCCAAAUUUUGUCUCCAGUUUUCAAACCAGUUGUGUCCAAAACAGAGCACAACACCUACGAAAACAGAACAGGCGAGACCGUCUUCCCCAAGGACGGGCACUGCCAAAUCCGCGAGAACACCCGUUAAACGUAUUCAAGAGGUAGCAGAAGAAGUAGAGGAAAUAGAGAUAAGGAGAAAAGAAUACAAGUUCUAGUUCAAAAGACAUAGAGAGACCAUGAAAGACCUAAGAGAAGUCAUUGAUUACCACAUUAACCCUACAACGUUAAUAUUGGCAGAAGAGCCCAAGAAGUGAGUAGAGAGCAGAAGCAUUGGAAUCUUUGUUGGAGCUUGUGCAGGUUUACUUAGGCAAGAAAAGUUGGAUGAACUCAGAAUUAGAAGGGUUCUUAAAGCCUUUUGGAGAUGAAACAGUUUCAUCAAGAUAAACCGCGAUUUGGAUCACCAGAAGUCUCAUGAAUGUAAAGAGAAAGCAAAAUGAUAAUGAAACCAAUCCUUUAGAAAGAAACACUAAACUCAACUUUUUCAUGCAGCCAUUUUGUGUAUAAAGAUAUUAAUCACAAAGCAAUAAAGUUACUAAUCAGAUUUAUAAAAUCUGAUCAACAAGCGCUUAUAUAGGACAAUAUUAUUUUAUUAUUAUCAUAUACUCAUAAAAGUAUUAGUGUAAUAACUUAUACAAUGAGAUUAUACAUCAAAAUGGGUUAUUUGACAAAAUUAUUUUCCAUAGAUUCUAAAGAACCUAUCAUAACAAAAAAGAGUUUUGUUAUCUCGUAGAGCCCCUCCUCAAUAUAUAUAUAUAUUUACUGCAAGAGAAGAGCCAAGAAGGCGGAGAAUGAUGCAGCAACGAUGGAGCCAACCACCGGAAAAGCCACGGUGGCAGAGGAAGCACCUGGUGCUGGUGCUGGAGACUCCAUGGUAGCUGCUGUGGCUGAGCUCACUAACACAACCGAGACAAAGAGGGCGACAAAGAAGUUGUUGAUGUUCUUCAUUGCCAUUAUUUCUUUUUUGUUUAUUUUGUUGAUGUUAGUUUUGUAUUUUUCUUU